Molecule: long non-coding RNA, 743 nt
Organism: Notothenia coriiceps (black rockcod)
Lineage: Eukaryota; Metazoa; Chordata; Actinopteri; Perciformes; Nototheniidae
Exons: 2
Source: RefSeq, a predicted model, not a curated record
GGAGGAUUUGCAGCCUUCGGCCAGGCCAAGCCCGUUGGCACUCCAUACGGACAAACAAUGUCCGGACCUAUGAUCUCCAGCAACCCCUUCCUGGGUGCGGCUCCGUCUGCUCAGUAUCCAGCAGGAGGCUCUUCAACGAACCCCUUCUUAUAGCGACCCCUCCGCUCCGCUCCACUACAGGGUCAACAACUGGCGCGCUUGCACCUAUUGCACCGUUUGUUUCACAAGUAGCUUUAAACACAAUGUUUGUAAGGAUUUGUAUUUUCUAUCGCAGUUUGUCACAAGGGAUAUGACAGAGCAUCAUGCUGACACUGUCCAUGGCUACAAAACAAAGUGAUGGUGUGUGUGCAGAGGGAGAGGACGGUCCCCCCCUUCUCUAUUUAACCUGUGAACUGGCCUGGCCUCGACUGAAACACAAUGUAUAAUCAAACUGGCUGAAAACUAAGUUAUUGUAACAGUAUAUCCCAUUCGUUAUGCUGCAACUUUGUACAUAAUUCAUUUUUCUUUUAGCGCUUUUGUGCAUAUCAGUAUUUGUAUCUAACACACAAGAUUUGUUCAGACAGAUCUGUUGCUUCUUGGUAAGUUAAUGGGUUCCGCCACUUACUGUAUUUGUGAAGAACCGACUGUUUAAUUGUGCGGGUUCCUUUUUAGGUAAACUGUUGGCUACGGUGGCCGAGAGGUGCCAACGUGCUUCAGCGGACCAACACAUUUCCAUUGGGGGAAACGCACUGCAACCUCAAAAA